UGGGGAAUAUUGCACAAUGGAGGGAACUCUGAUGCAGCGACGCCGCGUGAACGAAGAAGGCUUUCGAGUCGUAAAGUUCUUUUAUAUGGGAAGAUAAUGACGGUACCAUAAGAAAAAGACCCGGCUAACUACGUGCCAGCAGCCGCGGUAAUACGUAGGGGGCUAGCGUUGUCCGGAAUCACUGGGUGUAAAGGGUUCGCAGGCGGAAAUGCAAGUCAGGUGUAAAAGGCAGUAGCUUAACUACUGUAAGCAUUUGAAACUGCAUAUCUUGAGAAGAGUAGAGGUAAGUGGAAUUUUUAGUGUAGCGGUGAAAUGCGUAGAUAUUAAAAAGAAUACCGGUGGCGAAGGCGACUUACUGGGCUCAUUCUGACGCUGAGGAACGAAAGCGUGGGUAGCAAACAGG
Molecule: ribosomal RNA, 403 nt
Filed under: Fusobacteriota bacterium
Lineage: Bacteria; Fusobacteriati; Fusobacteriota
Description: Fusobacteria bacterium partial 16S ribosomal RNA
Rfam family: Bacterial small subunit ribosomal RNA
Source: RNAcentral